UUCGCAAUGCCCGAAAGGGUGACGAAGCGACGCCGCGUGGGUGAGGAAGGCCUUCGGGUUGUAAAGCCCUGUCAGGAGUUAAGAAAUGUAGGUUCGCUAAUAUCGUGCCUAUUUGACAAAGGCUCCAAAGGAAGCCACGGCUAACUCUGUGCCAGCAGCCGCGGUAAUACAGAGGUGGCAAGCGUUGUUCGGAAUUAUUGGGCGUAAAGAGCACGUAGGUGGAUUUGUAAGUCAGAUGUGAAAGCCUUCUGUUCAACGGGAGAAUUGCAUCUGAAACUACAAACCUUGAGUAUAGGAGGGGAGAAUGGAACUUCUGGUGGAGCGGUGAAAUGCGUAGAUAUCAGAAGGAACGCCGGCGGCGAAAGCGAUUCUCUGGCCUAUUACUGACACUCAGUGUGCGAAAGCUAGGGGAGCAAACGGGAUUAGAUACCCAGGUAGUCCUAGCCGUAAACGAUGGGCACUAAGUAGAGGGGUUUU
This 477-nucleotide ribosomal RNA is filed under the name Candidatus Scalindua brodae. RNAcentral's name for it is "bacterial SSU rRNA". It matches the Rfam family "Bacterial small subunit ribosomal RNA", at positions 365 to 832 of the family's 1533-position model. Lineage: Bacteria; Pseudomonadati; Planctomycetota; Candidatus Brocadiia; Candidatus Brocadiales; Candidatus Scalinduaceae. The record is from RNAcentral.